UCCAUCUUCAGGCUUUGCAAAGCUGGUAAUAUCGACCCCAAGCAGCAUAUCUAGUUCAAGGGUGGUUUCAACUGGUUCAAUCUCAACUGUAACAAGGUCAUAUACACAAAAUCCAACUUACUAUCAAUUAUAGUUUCUGCUAUCGGUGAAGCAGGUCCACUGUCCACACUCCCACCAAAACCAGUUAUAUUGCAGAAUGGGGGUGACCAACCAAUGUUGCAAUGACAAUGCAAAAGAUUGUUGCAUACCUUGAUCCAGUUGUAUUAGUCAGUUAAGUAGUUUGAAACCAUAAAAAUCUUGUACAAUGACAAUGAUAACUUAAGACUUAUCUCUGCUACCAUAGUGUCAAGACUCUUAUGAGCAGUUGCUCUAACCAAGUGGUCACUUACGAGUUG
Molecule: non-coding RNA, 395 nt
Organism: Ciona intestinalis (vase tunicate)
Lineage: Eukaryota; Metazoa; Chordata; Ascidiacea; Phlebobranchia; Cionidae
Source: RefSeq, a predicted model, not a curated record